GGCCUCCUACUAAAGUGGCCACUCCAGUGGCCUGCCUGGCCCCUCCAGAUAUGUCUUUGGCUUUGACCCUGCAGAUCCAGAUUUGGAAGCCAGGAUAGAAAGAAUGGCUCUGUCUCUCACACAAGUCUAAGGAGCAAGAAAAGCACAUUGCCCUCUUCGAUUAAUGAAAUACAAGUACGAAAUACAAAUGUCUCUCUAGCAAAAUAUGUGUGUGUGUACUUCUGAGAGCAAAAUGACAAACAUGUAACAGUAAAUGUUUUUCUAUGGUGUA
Molecule: long non-coding RNA, 271 nt
Organism: Sus scrofa (pig)
Lineage: Eukaryota; Metazoa; Chordata; Mammalia; Artiodactyla; Suidae
Source: RefSeq, a predicted model, not a curated record